GCUACAGGCUUAACACAUGCAAGUCGAGGGGCAGCAUUUUAGUUUGCCUGCAAACUAAAGAUGGCGACCGGCGCACGGGUGAGUAACACGUAUCCAACCUGCCGAUAACUCGGGGAUAGCCUUUCGAAAGAAAGAUUAAUAUCCGAUAGUAUAUUAAAACCGCAUGGUUUUACUAUUAAAGAAUUUCGGUUAUCGAUGGGGAUGCGUUCCAUUAGUUUGUUGGCGGGGUAACGGCCCACCAAGACUACGAUGGAUAGGGGUUCUGAGAGGAAGGUCCCCCACAUUGGAACUGAGACACGGUCCAAACUCCUACGGGAGGCAGCAGUGAGGAAUAUUGGUCAAUGGACGAGAGUCUGAACCAGCCAAGUAGCGUGAAGGAUGACUGCCCUAUGGGUUGUAAACUUCUUUUAUAUGGGAAUAAAGUAUUCCACGUGUGGGAUUUUGUAUGUACCAUAUGAAUAAGGAUCGGCUAACUCCGUGCCAGCAGCCGCGGUAAUACGGAGGAUCCGAGCGUUAUCCGGAUUUAUUGGGUUUAAAGGGAGCGUAGGUGGAUUGUUAAGUCAGUUGUGAAAGUUUGCGGCUCAACCGUAAAAUUGCAGUUGAAACUGGCAGUCUUGAGUACAGUAGAGGUGGGCGGAAUUCGUGGUGUAGCGGUGAAAUGCUUAGAUAUCACGAAGAACUCCGAUUGCGAAGGCAGCUCACUAGACUGCAACUGACACUGAUGCUCGAAAGUGUGGGUAUCAAACAGGAUUAGAUACCCUGGUAGUCCACACAGUAAACGAUGAAUACUCGCUGUUUGCGAUAUACAGUAAGCGGCCAAGCGAAAGCAUUAAGUAUUCCACCUGGGGAGUACGCCGGCAACGGUGAAACUCAAAGGAAUUGACGGGGGCCCGCACAAGCGGAGGAACAUGUGGUUUAAUUCGAUGAUACGCGAGGAACCUUACCCGGGCUUAAAUUGCAUUUGAAUAAUCUGGAAACAGGUUAGCCGCAAGGCAAAUGUGAAGGUGCUGCAUGGUUGUCGUCAGCUCGUGCCGUGAGGUGUCGGCUUAAGUGCCAUAACGAGCGCAACCCUUAUCUUUAGUUACUAACAGGUCAUGCUGAGGACUCUAGAGAGACUGCCGUCGUAAGAUGUGAGGAAGGUGGGGAUGACGUCAAAUCAGCACGGCCCUUACGUCCGGGGCUACACACGUGUUACAAUGGGGGGUACAGAAGGCAGCUACCUGGCGACAGGAUGCUAAUCCCAAAAACCUCUCUCAGUUCGGAUCGAAGUCUGCAACCCGACUUCGUGAAGCUGGAUUCGCUAGUAAUCGCGCAUCAGCCAUGGCGCGGUGAAUACGUUCCCGGGCCUUGUACACACCGCCCGUCAAGCCAUGAAAGCCGGGGGUACCUGAAGUACGUAACCGCAAGGAGCGUCCUAGGGUAAAACUGGUAAUUGGGGCUAAGUCAUAACA
Molecule: ribosomal RNA, 1451 nt
Filed under: uncultured organism
Description: SSU rRNA
Rfam family: Bacterial small subunit ribosomal RNA
Source: RNAcentral